GCCCAGGUGGUGGAAUUGGCAGACACGUUAGCUUCAGGAGCUAAUGCCGAAAGGUUUGGGAGUUCGAAUCUCCCCCUGGGCA
RNAcentral lists this transfer RNA (82 nucleotides) under bacterium (Candidatus Gribaldobacteria) CG_4_10_14_0_2_um_filter_33_15. Its description in RNAcentral is "tRNA-Leu". It matches the Rfam family "tRNA". From Rfam's summary of the family: Transfer RNA (tRNA) molecules are approximately 80 nucleotides in length. Their secondary structure includes four short double-helical elements and three loops (D, anti-codon, and T loops). RNAcentral also lists the same sequence under 3 other names. Lineage: Bacteria; Candidatus Gribaldobacteria. The record is from RNAcentral.